CCUACGGGUGGCAGCAGUGAGGAAUAUUGGUCAAUGGACGAGAGUCUGAACCAGCCAAGUAGCGUGAAGGAUGACUGCCCUAUGGGUUGUAAACUCCUUUUAUAUGGGAAUAAAAUGUUCCACGUGUGGGAUUUUGUAUGUACCAUAUGAAUAAGGAACGGCUAACUCCGUGCCAGCAGCCGCGGUAAUACGGAGGAUCCGAGCGUUAUCCGGAUUUAUUGGGUUUAAAGGGAGCGUAGGUGGAUUGUUAAGUCAGUUGUGAAAGUUUGCGGCUCAACCGUAAAAUUGCAGUUGAAACUGGCAGUCUUGAGUACAGUAGAGGUGAGCGGAAUUCGUGGUGUAGCGGUGAAAUGCUUAGAUAUCACGAAGAACUCCGAUUGCGAAGGCAGCUCACUGGACUGCAACUGACACUGAGGCUCGAAAGUGUGGGUAGCAAACAGGAUUAGAUACCCGAGUAGUC
This 460-nucleotide ribosomal RNA is filed under the name uncultured bacterium. RNAcentral describes it as "partial 16S ribosomal RNA". It matches the Rfam family "Bacterial small subunit ribosomal RNA", at positions 338 to 795 of the family's 1533-position model. The record is from RNAcentral.